UACGGAGGGUGCGAGCGUUGUUCGGAAUUAUUGGGCGUAAAGCGCGUGUAGGCGGUUUUGUAAGUCUGAUGUGAAAGCCCCGGGCUCAACCUGGGAAGUGCAUUGGAUACUGCAAGACUUGAGUACGGGAGAGGGCAGUGGAAUUCCCAGUGUAGGAGUGAAAUCCGUAGAUAUUGGGAGGAACACCGGUGGCGAAGGCGGCUGCCUGGACCGAUACUGACGCUGAGGAGCGAAAGCGUGGGGAGCGAACAGG
Molecule: ribosomal RNA, 253 nt
Filed under: uncultured bacterium
Lineage: Bacteria
Description: partial 16S ribosomal RNA
Rfam family: Bacterial small subunit ribosomal RNA
Source: RNAcentral